GGAAGUAAAAGUUAACAAGGUUUCCGUAGGUGAACCUGCGGAAGGAUCAUUACUGAGUGAGGGCCCCUCGGGGUCCAACCUCCCACCCGUGUUUAACGAACCUUGUUGCUUCGGCGGGCCCGCCUCACGGCCGCCGGGGGGCAUCUGCCCCCGGGCCCGCGCCCGCCGAAGCCACCUGUGAACGCUGUCUGAAGUAUGCAGUCUGAGACAAUUAUUAAAUUAAUUAAAACUUUCAACAACGGAUCUCUUGGUUCCG
Molecule: unclassified non-coding RNA, 256 nt
Filed under: plant metagenome
Description: partial contains small subunit ribosomal RNA, internal transcribed spacer 1, and 5.8S ribosomal RNA
Rfam family: Eukaryotic small subunit ribosomal RNA (bases 1-52)
Source: RNAcentral